CAUCUACGGCACCCGGCUGGUGGUGCUGCCCUUCCGCAGGGAGAGCCUGGCCGAGGAGCAUGAGGGGCUCGUGGGUGAGGGGUGAGCACUGGGGUCACGGCUGGGUCUGAGAGGCGUGGAGCUUGGUUCCCCUCUGUGUGGCCCACCCUGACGUCCCUGUGCCCCCAGGCAGAGGUCCAGCUUCCUGCCUAGCUAUAUCAUCGAUGUGCGGGCCCUGGACGAGAAGCUGCUCAACAUCAUUGACCUGCAGUUCCUGCAUGGCUAUUACGAGCCCACCCUGCUCAUCCUGUUCGAGCCCAACCAGACUUGGCCCGGGUGAGGCCCAGGGAUGCCCUCUUUGCUGUGGUCCCAGCUGCCUGGGCAGAGGGGACAGGGACGUGUAGCUCCCGCAGAGGGUGGAAGUGGGACCCCAGCCUUGGGGGGUGCUGCGAGUCCAGCUGACCCACCUACUACUCCAGGCGGGUGGCAGUGCGACAGGACACCUGUUCCAUUGUGGCCAUCUCACUGAACAUCACGCAGAAGGUCCACCCUGUCAUCUGGUCCCUCACCAGCCUGCCUUUUGACUGCACCCAGGCCCUGGCUGUGCCCAAGCCCAUAGGUGAGGAGGGCCCAGCAGUGCCCAGUGGUCCUGGGGGGGAGCAGUGAGCCUGCCUACCAGCCCGUGUCUGUCCCCAGGUGGGGUCGUGGUCUUCGCUGUCAACUCGCUGCUGUACCUGAACCAAAGUGUCCCCCCAUAUGGCGUGGCUCUCAACAGCCUCACUAUGGGCACCACUGCCUUCCCACUGCGUAAGUGUAGCUGACUAUUAGUGGGUGGGGCUGUGGGUGGGGCAGGGCCUCCAGCCAGCUUGACACCUUCCUCACAGGCACUCAGGAGGGCGUACGGAUCACCCUGGACUGCGCCCAGGCCGCCUUCAUUUCCUAUGACAAGAUGGUCAUUUCCCUCAAGGGUGGCGAGAUGUGAGCCCCUGGCCCUGUCUGCCCUGAGACCCCCACAUCCCCUCCCCUGCUCAUUCAGCACCCCCCACCCCUGCCCUCCAACAUCCUUCAUCCCCAGCCCUACUCAGCAGCCCGCCCCGCCCACAGCUAUGUGCUGACACUCGUCACAGACGGCAUGCGCAGCGUCCGUGCCUUCCACUUUGACAAGGCAGCCGCCAGUGUCCUCACCACCAGUGUGAGUAGGGGCAGGGGUGGAGGUCUUGCACUGGGUCCAGGUCUGGCCUCCUCUCAUCCACACGCCCGCCCUCAGAUGGUCACCAUGGAGCCUGGGUACCUGUUCCUGGGCUCGCGCCUGGGCAAUUCCCUCCUCCUCAAGUACACAGAGAAGCUGCAGGAGCCCCCAGCCAGUGCUGUCCGCGAGGCUGCUGACAAGGUGGGUGCUCAUGGUGGUGCCCAGGUGCUUGGCCACCUCCCCUUGGUGUAAAGCAGCCUGGAAAUGCUGUUCACCUCUGUCUCCCGCCUCACAGGAAGAGCCUCCCUCCAAGAAGAAGCGGGUGGACCCCACAGUGGGCUGGUCAGGUGAGAGCUGGACCGGUUGGGUGGGGUGGGUCUGGGAGCCAGGGCAAGGCUCAAGUGGGCUGUGUGCGCUACAGGGGGCAAGUCCGUGCCACAGGACGAGGUGGACGAGAUUGAAGUGUACGGCAGUGAGGCCCAGUCAGGCACACAGCUGGCCACCUACUCCUUUGAGGUGAGACUGGGGACAGCCGUGGAUGCCCGCCCCCUCCCACCACCUGACUGCCACUGUGUCUUCAGGUGUGUGACAGCAUGCUCAACAUCGGACCCUGCGCCAAUGCUGCUGUGGGCGAGCCCGCCUUCCUCUCCGAAGAGGUGCCUGGGGCCUGGGCUUGGGUUGGGGGCAGGAGCGGGGUUGGGGCAGCAUCUUUACCCCGACCUGUGCAGUUUCAGAACAGCCCUGAGCCAGACCUGGAGAUUGUGGUUUGCUCCGGCUAUGGGAAGAACGGGGCCCUAUCAGUGCUGCAGGUGUGUAGGGCAGGGGGGGUGGGCACCUGCGGGCAGCACCUGAGUAGGCUGACCCCAUCCCACCCUAUCUUCAUUCCAGAAGAGUAUCCGGCCCCAGGUAGUGACAACCUUUGAACUUCCUGGCUGCUAUGACAUGUGGACAGUCAUUGCCCCUGUGCGCAAGGAGGAGGUAGGUGGGACCCUAGGUGAUAGUGACUGUGGUGGCCUGAGGGCACCUGGAUCCAGUGGUCAUAGCCAUCACAGCUCUCUGUCCUCCCUGUCCUUGGCCCGUGCAGGAGGAGGCACCUAAGGCAGAGGGCCCAGAGCAGGAGCCGAGCACCCCUGAAGCAGAAGAUGAUGGCCGGAGACAUGGCUUCCUCAUUCUGAGCCGGGAAGACUCAACAAUGGUGAAGGGCGGGGUCUGGAUGUGGGCGUCUGGGGUUCCCCGGGGAAGGGCACAACUCACUACGUUACCUACAGAUCCUUCAGACUGGCCAGGAGAUCAUGGAACUGGACACCAGUGGCUUUGCCACACAGGGCCCCACGGUUUUUGCUGGAAACAUUGGGGACAAUCGCUACAUUGUCCAAGUGUCACCACUGGGCAUCCGCUUGCUAGAAGGAGGUAGGUGGGCAAGUGUAGGGAAGCGCGUCCUGGGGAGUAUGCUGCAUUGGCCACCCUGUGCUGACCACCCUGUGCCCACAGUGAAUCAGCUGCACUUCAUCCCUGUGGACCUGGGUGCCCCCAUCGUGCAGUGCGCUGUGGCCGACCCCUAUGUGGUCAUCAUGAGCGCCGAGGGCCGUGUUACCAUGUUCCUGCUCAAGAGUGAUUCGUAUGGUGGCCGCCACCACCGCCUUGCACUGCACAAGCCUCCACUGCACCAUGUAGGCCUCACCCUCUGUGUCUGCCAUCCCUGCCUAUGAUCCCCUAUCCCCACUGUCCCCGACCUACACUGGGCUUUGUCUCUCCCUGCAGCAGUCCAAGGUGAUCACACUCUGCCUGUAUCGUGAUGUCAGCGGCAUGUUCACCACCGAGAGCCGCCUGAGUGGGGCCCGUGAUGAGAUGGGGGGCCGCAGUGGUUCAGAGGCCGAAGGACUGGGCUCAGAGACCAGGUGUGCAGGGGGCCAGGGUGCAGGAGACCUGGGUCUCUGUGGCAGAUUGAGACAUGUCUGUGUCUUCAGCCCUACAGUGGAUGACGAGGAGGAGAUGCUCUAUGGGGACUCAGGCUCCCUCUUCAGCCCCAGCAAAGAGGAGGCCCGGAGGAGCAGCCAGCCCCCUGCUGACCGAGACCCUGCACCCUUUCGGGCAGAGCCCACCCACUGGUGCCUGCUGGUGCGAGAGAACGGCACCAUGGAGGUAGGUGCACACAUGUGGCUCAGCAGCCCUGGCAGCAUGGCAGGCCCUAUCGUCACUGACUGCUGUCCCCCACCAGAUCUACCAGCUUCCAGACUGGCGGCUGGUGUUCCUGGUGAAGAACUUCCCUGUGGGGCAGCGGGUCCUGGUGGACAGUUCCUUUGGACAGCCUACCACGCAGGGUGAGGCCCGCAAGGAAGAGGCCACGCGCCAGGGGGAGCUGCCCCUGGUCAAGGAGGUGCUGCUGGUUGCUCUGGGGAGUCGCCAGAGCAGGCCCUACCUGCUGGUGAGCCCUUUGGUGCCUGCCCAGAGGCUGGGACCUGCCCUCACAGCCCAGCCCAUUCCUCCACUCUGUCCUCGGGGCCCAGCCCCACCUCGUGGCCCACCCUGUCUCACUUCCAGGUGCAUGUGGACCAGGAGCUGCUUAUCUAUGAGGCUUUUCCCCAUGACUCUCAGCUUGGCCAGGGCAAUCUCAAAGUUCGCUUCAAGAAGGUGCAGCUGCUAGACCCUUUUGGGGUGGGUUGGGAGGGGUCCAGGCUACAGGGUCUGAAGGGCCUGGCGUUCAUCAACACCUUCACCAGGUCCCCCACAACAUCAAUUUCCGUGAAAAGAAGGCAAAACCCUCCAAGAAGAAGGCAGAAGGUGGCAGUGUGGAGGAGGGUUCUGGGGCCCGGGGACGUGUGGCACGUUUCCGCUACUUCGAGGACAUUUAUGGCUAUUCUGGGGUAGGCAGGCAGCUUUGUUUGGGCUUGGGGGUAGGGGAACAGGACCUUGCCCACAUGUUCUCACAGUGUCUGUCUCCAGGUGUUCAUCUGUGGCCCCUCACCCCACUGGCUCCUAGUGACUGGCCGGGGGGCUCUGCGGCUGCACCCCAUGGGCAUCGAUGGCCCCAUCGACUCCUUCGCCCCAUUCCACAAUGUCAAUUGUCCCCGAGGCUUUCUGUAUUUCAACAGACAGGUAGGAAGGUUAACUCUGGCCGCACCACAAGCACUGGUACUGCCCUGGCAAAGCUAGGCGCUAGGGACAGGAGGGCUCCUCAGCUGCAGCACAUCCCAGAGGACCAGGGAUGACUAUCUAGAGGAGGGUAGGGCCCAGGAGGUGGGAUCUGGGGCUUGAGGCUGGAGCAGUUGGCAGUGGAGGCCUGGCUGAUGGGGCAUACCCUGAAAGCCCUUGCCUCAUCUGUGACACCCACAUGGCAGCAAUGACCACCUGAGUCACUGACAGACUCUGGUGUUGAGUGCUUCCAAGGGGCUAAUGCACUCAGGACUGGACAGAAGCUGAGGCUGGGGCUGGCAGGGUCUCCCUCUGCCUGUGUUCUUCAGUCCCUGGCAUGGCCAGUCUCAGUCAUGUGGCUUUUAGUCUCUAGUGUCCUCUGGGCUUGGACUCCCAUGCCCUGUGCUGUAUUCCCCAGCCAGAAGGAUGGACAGGAGCCUACUGAUAGAAGGCAUGGGGACUGACGACCAAGGCUACAGCUCUUCCAGACCUUCCCCAGACUCGGUGACCCUAGCCAGGCAGUAGCGAGGCCUGCAGCCCUAGGCCUUGCUGACUAUUUCCACCCACCCCAGGGUGAGCUGCGGAUCAGUGUCCUGCCUGCCUACUUGUCCUACGAUGCCCCAUGGCCCGUCAGGAAGAUCCCACUGCGCUGCACGGCUCACUAUGUGGCUUACCAUGUGGAGUCCAAGGUCUGUCCCCUCCCCCAGCACUCCCUCCCCCAGGCACCCCAGGCGUGUGACACCAUUCAACUCCUAGGUGUACGCCGUGGCCACCAGCACCAAUACACCCUGCACCCGCAUCCCGCGCAUGACUGGUGAGGAAAAGGAGUUUGAGGCCAUUGAGAGAGGUAUGUGCCACCAGGGGUGGGGUGGACCAUGCCCAGGGCUGGCUACGACCACUGCCUCCUUGUCCCUGCAGAUGACAGGUACAUCCACCCCCAACAGGAGGCCUUCUCCAUCCAGCUCAUCUCCCCAGUCAGCUGGGAGGCCAUUCCCAAUGCCAGGUGAUGUUGGGCCCAGUGGGGGCUUCCGGGUGCCAGCAGGGCAGGACUAGGGUGUCCUGAUACAGCCUGUCCUUGUGCAGAAUUGAGCUGGAGGAAUGGGAACACGUCACAUGCAUGAAGACAGUGUCGCUGCGCAGUGAGGAGACUGUGUCGGGCCUCAAGGGCUAUGUGGCUGCUGGGACCUGCCUCAUGCAGGGAGAGGAGGUCACGUGCCGCGGGCGGGUAAGCAGCUGCCAGGUGGGGACAGGCGGCCCUUGGCAGCCUGUCUGCCAUCCCCACAUGUUCCCUUGCCCUGCCAGAUCCUCAUCAUGGACGUGAUUGAGGUGGUGCCCGAACCUGGCCAGCCCCUAACCAAGAACAAGUUCAAGGUCCUAUACGAAAAGGAACAGAAGGGGCCUGUGACCGCCCUGUGCCACUGCAAUGGUCACCUGGUGUCAGCCAUUGGCCAGAAGGUACACAGCUACUCCUCCCUGCUGUGUUUCUGCCUGCUCACCCUGCCCACUCCACUGACCCUUCUGCCCCCUAGAUCUUCCUGUGGAGCCUGCGGGCCAGUGAGCUGACGGGCAUGGCCUUCAUCGACACCCAGCUGUACAUCCACCAGAUGAUCAGCGUCAAGAACUUCAUCUUAGCUGCAGAUGUCAUGAAGAGCAUCUCACUGCUGCGCUACCAAGAAGAGAGCAAGACGCUGAGCCUGGUGUCCCGGGUACUUCAUGUGGUCUUGGGGUACAGGUGAGAGUCAUACUCGGGCUCCUCCUGACACCUUCUGCUCCCUGACAACAGGAUGCCAAGCCUCUGGAGGUGUACAGUGUGGACUUCAUGGUGGACAAUGCCCAGCUGGGCUUUUUGGGUGAGUAGGGUCUUGGGGGAGUGUCACCCUGGGGGUGGCUGGAGCUGACUCUGGGUCUUUGCUCCCUAGUGUCUGACCGAGACCGCAACCUCAUGGUGUACAUGUACCUGCCAGAAGGUCAGUGGCUCCCUCCCUCACUUGUUUUUUUCAAUGUUUUUUAGUAGUUGAUGGACCUCUAUUUAUUUGUAUGUGGUGCUGAGAGUCGAACCCAGUGCAUCACACAUGCUAGACAAGCUAUCACUGAGCCACAACCCCAGCCCUCCCUCCCUCACUUCUACUCCGGCUGGGUAUUGGGCACUGGGUGGGCAGUGAUCUGAGUUCUUCUGUCCUAGCCAAGGAGAGCUUUGGGGGCAUGCGCCUGCUGCGCAGGGCAGACUUCCACGUGGGUGCCCACGUGAACACGUUCUGGAGAACGCCAUGCAGGGGGGCCACUGAGGGGCCCAGCAAGAAGUCGGUGGUGUGGGAGAACAAGCACAUCACGUGGUUUGGUGAGUGGGGUGGGGUAACUGAGCUCACUGCCCCCUCGAGCCACACUGGAUGACUAGGGGGUUGACCUGGCUCACGCUUCCCCCCAUCCCCAGCCACACUGGAUGGCGGCAUCGGGCUCCUGCUGCCCAUGCAGGAGAAGACCUACCGGAGGCUGCUGAUGCUGCAGAACGCACUGACCACCAUGUUGCCCCACCAUGCUGGUCUCAACCCCCGUGCCUUCCGGUGAGCACCCACCAUCCUCAGGGCUCUGCCUACCCUCCCAGGUUGCCCUGACCCCCCACACCCCCUCCCCAGGAUGUUGCAUGUGGACCGGCGCAUCCUACAGAACGCAGUGCGCAACGUGCUUGACGGAGAGCUGCUCAACCGCUACCUGUACCUCAGCACUAUGGAGCGUGGGGAGCUGGCCAAGAAGAUUGGCACGACCCCAGACAUUGUGAGUUGGCCUGCUUUCCCCCGCCCAUCCUGUCCCUGCCCUGCUGAGCCCUGCCCUGACGGCUUUCACCCUACAGAUCCUUGAUGACCUGCUGGAGACUGACCGUGUCACCGCCCACUUCUAAGCAUGUGGAUGCCACCCUGCCCCCGCACACUGCCUCCCCCCACCUUUUGUACAAAACAAGGA
This 7258-nucleotide long non-coding RNA is filed under the name Marmota monax (woodchuck). The record is from RNAcentral. Lineage: Eukaryota; Metazoa; Chordata; Mammalia; Rodentia; Sciuridae.